RNAcentral lists this ribosomal RNA (897 nucleotides) under uncultured Planctomycetota bacterium. RNAcentral's name for it is "bacterial SSU rRNA". It matches the Rfam family "Bacterial small subunit ribosomal RNA", at positions 81 to 965 of the family's 1533-position model. The record is from RNAcentral. Lineage: Bacteria; Pseudomonadati; Planctomycetota.
AAUUAUGCCGGAUAGUGGCGAAGGGUGAGUAAUGGGUAGGUAACGUACCUCGUGCUUCGGGAUAGCGUUUGUUUACCUUCGGGUAAACUUCCGAAAGGGGCAGUAAUACCGAAUAAUAUCAGGUCUCGUAAGGGAUCUGAUCAAAGAUUUAUCGGCAUAAGAGCGGCCUACCUCCUAUCAGCUUGUUGGUGAGGUAAUGGCUCACCAAGGCUAUGACGGGUAGCGGGACUGAGAGGUUGGCCCGCCACAUCGGGACUGAGACACUGCCCGGACCUCCACGGAGGGCUGCAGUAACGAAUCUUGCGCAAUGGGCGAAAGCCUGACGCAGCGACGCCGCGUGCGGGAAGAAGUCUUUCGGGAUGUAAACCGCUGUCAGGGGGAAGAAAGUGCGCUCCGGCGUAUUGAUCCAACCCAGAGGAAGUCACGGCUAACUUCGUGCCAGCAGCCGCGGUAAGACGAAGGUGGCUAGCGUUGUUCGGUAUUACUGGGCUUAAAGCGUGUGUAGGCGGAAGAGUAAGCGCCUUGUGAAAUCCCUCGGCUUAACCGAGGAAUUGCUUUGCGAACUGCUUUUCUUGAGGCAAGUAGGGGUGCAUGGAACUCUUGGUGGAGCGGUGGAAUGCGUAGAUAUCAAGAGGAACGCCGGUAGUGAAAACGGUGCACUGGGCUUGUCCUGACGCUGAGACACGAAAGCGUGGGUAGCGAACGGGAUUAGAUACCCCGGUAGUCCACGCCGUAAACGAUGCCUACUACGUCGUGGUGGUUCUGACACCAGCACGGCCGAAGCAAAAGUGUUAAGUAGGCCGCCUGGGGAGUACGGUCGCAAGGCUAAAACUCAAAGGAAUUGACGGGGGCUCACACAAGCGGUGGAGCAUGUGGAUCAAUUCCAAGCAACGCGUA